Molecule: ribosomal RNA, 441 nt
Filed under: uncultured archaeon
Lineage: Archaea
Description: bacterial SSU rRNA
Rfam family: Archaeal small subunit ribosomal RNA
Source: RNAcentral
CCCUACAGGACCNGACUGCUAUCGGAUUGAUACUAAGCCAUGCGAGUCAUUGUAGCAAUACAAGGCAUACGGCUCACCUACGCGUAGUCAACCUAACCUAUGGACGGGAAUAACCUCGGGAAACUGAGAAUAAUGCCCGAUAGAACAUUAUGCCUGGAAUGGUUUAUGUUCCAAAUGAUUUAUCGCCGUAGGAUGGGACUGCGGCCUAUCAGUUUGUUGGUGAGGUAAUGGCCCACCAAGACUAUUACAGGUACGGGCUCUGAGAGGAGUAGCCCGGAGAUGGGUACUGAGACACGGACCCAGGCCCUAUGGGGCGCAGCAGGCGAGAAAACUUUGCAAUGUGCGAAAGCACGACAAGGUUAAUCCGAGUGGUUUCUGCUAAAGAAACCUUUUGUCAGUCCUAGAAACACUGAUGAAUAAGGGGUGGGCAAGUUCUGGUGU